Molecule: long non-coding RNA, 1772 nt
Filed under: Medicago truncatula (barrel medic)
Lineage: Eukaryota; Viridiplantae; Streptophyta; Magnoliopsida; Fabales; Fabaceae
Description: long non-coding RNA (MTRU_LNC001711)
Source: RNAcentral
ACGGGAUAUCACAUAGAAACGUAAUCCAAAAACAGUUAAAUAAUAAUUUAACUUCCACAUAAUAUCUUAACAUAGCAGCGGAGUAUUAGUUCAGAAAUCAUAAAUCAGUUUGGCACGCAGGCCCCAACAAGUAUCUCAAAAGAGUUUAUCAAGCAUAAAUUAUCAUGGCAGUUCACGUAAAAGAAUGAAGCAUGUUAUAGCAUUAACCCCAUCCCGUUACGUAUCAGAGCGACCUAGACGACACAGUGAGGCAAGGCUACUCACAGAAGCAACUGCACACUAAGCACGAUCACCUGCAAGUUACCCAUACGAAGGGCAACAUUUUCAAGCAGAAGGGGUGAGAUUUCAUAAUAAAAUAACAUUAAUCAAUGUAAUUGCGAAUCAUAAAUUAACAUCAUAAUCAUUCCAUUAUUAACUUUGCAUAAAUGCUAAACAGUUGUCACGUAAUCAUAUAUCCAAUCAUUAUAAACAUCAUAACAUAAUCAAUGAACACUUAUCACGUAAUCACAUAUCCACUCAUCAUCAACAAGGCAUCUUAAUCAUGACAAUGUGACAAUGCUCCUAGACUCCUUAUAUGCAUGUGGUACCAAUCGUCAUCAUAAGUAUUAAUAUACUUUAAUCGUGCGGAGGACAAAGCUCCUAUAAAACGUGCGGAGGACAAAGCUCCUAAUUUUCGUGGUGAGGACAAAGCUCAAUGAUAUGCUAUGCAUGGACACAUAUGAACAAAACAACGUAAUCGACUUAUCAACAUGCAUCCAAUAAUUUGGAGCUAAACUUCAUCAUAUACUUAUGCACUUAGUUAAACAACGGAAGCAGCAUAAACAAGUCACAUAUCAAGAUGAUAUCAUUAUAUCAAUAGCACAUAAAUUGCAUUAUUAUCAACCUUCAUAUCUUGCAUGAUUAUACAAUACAUUAGUUCAUGUUCAAUUAAUAUCAAUAUAACUUAACAACUCUACCGACUGCAUUAAACUUCAUCAAUAGGUCUCAAUACCAAUUAGGGGUUCACUCUUGAUCAACAAGUGCGACACAGAUCGCACAAACACAUAAUCAAGUUCAUCCUGGUUGUACUCGCGAGGCGAGAGCUCUUACUCGCCAUGGCGAGUACCACUCAACUCCCAAACUAAGGUCGUUUUGGGUUCCCUCUGAUCCUACAUUCAUUCCUAAUCAAUACUAGGUAUGUUCAGGUACUCAAGGAUAUACAAGGUUCAACUAAAAAGGUCGAAACACGAAACAUGACAUGCUCUCUGCUUGAGCUCGCGAGGCGAGGAAAGGUUGCUCGCCAUGGCGAGCUGGACCAAACAACUCGCGAGGCGAAGGAAAGGGGCUCGCGUGGCGAGCGAUGAAGUUCAUCACUCGCGAGGCGAGGAUCAUCACUCGCCGUGGCGAGCGAUGAACAGAAGCACGGGCAGACUAGGGUUUUUCUCAAAAAUCCAUCACACAACAUGGUUCAAAGCCUAAUUUUGAUUCCAUAAUCCAUCCUAAACAUGUUCUAAGGUUAAAGGACGGUUUCUACAUCAAUCUAAACAAGUUUUACCGUUUGAUCAUCAAUUUUUAGGGUUUUAACCUAAUUCCAAAACUUCUCUAAAUCAAUCCUAACUUUGUCAACUAAUCAUCAGAAUUACAGUAAUUAACAUUAUUGAAUUAUUAGUCUCACCCUUACCUUGAAUGAAGAAAAUCGCAGCACUCUACCUUGAUUCCUCUAGACUUGGCUUUUCUCCCUUCUUCCAAAAGUUUUCACGUACAAUGAGUUUCUAAAAUAUUAGGUCUUCUCC